GGUUUAUCCCUGACUUAGCUAAAAUAAAUCUAAUCCAGCCAAAACACAGUGCUCUCACAGUCUGCUAUGGCUGUUGAAAAGACUGGAACAGAAAAGGAAGUCAUUCUUUUCAACCUUCAUUCUGCAGAAGGUCAGCUAGGUUUCAUGGGACAACUUGCAAAGGGAUGUUUAAUUUCUGUGAUUGUAAAUUUUCUGGCUUUAAAAUCAGGAGAGGGAAGUCCUUGGUGGAAUCAAUAAGGUCAGCACAUCCUUCUCGAAUUACUUCCUUUUCACCUGAAUCAAAGAAAUAGCAGGUUCCGUCAUGAAGGAAGUGCUUGUACCACUAGUUCUAUGGCCCAGAACAAAAGCUGAUCAGAAAUACAGCUCUAAACCAUCACCAUGCUCUCAACUAGUAUAAAAAUACCACUGUUCACUGAUUUCAGAUCUGGACCACAGCUAGAAGCUACUUGGUUCUAGUAGCACUAGCUGCUGUACAAACACAAAUGAAGGAGAGGAAUUACACACCAAGAAACAUGAGUUGUGUACAUGUGAAAUGGACCAUAAUUUUGAAGCAGCUGCAGUAAAAUCUUAUCUUAAUAUGAACUCAGAAGCAAACACAAUGCAAAUUUUUAUGUUUUCUUUAAUAUGUUUGAUGGGUUUUAAUUUUCCUAGUUUGGAGAAAGUUUUCUUAAUGUUAUUUUAUUUUUGCUCUUAUUGUAAAGAAUAAAAUUAAACAACUCUAGAUAGACUACAAAUGAAAAAAGGUGGCCAGUUGGCAGGAAUGCCAAAACUUUUGUGGCUUGUAUUGUUUCUGUGGUGACACUACGCUGCUGUAGGAUGAGCUACUGGAAUGGUGUGAUGGCUCAACAGUGAGGCUGAAGCACAAGGCCAGCCUCAUGUAAGAGGGAUGCAGGGGCUGAGCCACUGAGGCAGCAGUGGGAGCACAACUGGGCCAAUUUGGAUCAGUCAGAAGACAGAGAGAGCAUCAGGAAAUAAAAGAAACCUUUUCCUGACAAAUAAAAAGCAAGAAGCCAAAGCCAGCCUGCUGGGCGACGGUGCUGAAUCAGUACAAACAUGUACCUAGACCUUGCUUGUGCAGGCUCCUGCAGGACCAGGAGGCCUGGCUCCUAAUUUACCUAGGGAGGUUUGCUCCAAGCUUGUGGUGCUGGCAGAGUCAGGCCAGCAGAACCUGCUGUUUUGUUAACUAAAUUCCAAAAACUAGAAGACCACAACAAUCACCACCAAACCAAAACAACAACUACAGAAAACAAGGAAGGAAAGAGCAAAUGCCAUUGGCAAGCAGUAGUUCUGCAUGGCUGAGACCACAGACUGGCUGGUCUGUCCUGAACACUAAUCUCCACGUCUUGUGCCCAUGCGAGCCUUUGGCUCCAGCCCCUCUCCCAUGCAUUCCACACAGAGUGCACUGAAAGAUGUGACGGAAGCAGCUGCUCUCCUCCAGGAGUCAAGCAUUUUGCCAGGUCUGAAAGUGUCUAACACUUACUUCCUUUACCGUGAUUGUAAAGGUCACCACAUGCAGUACGGCCACUUGAUCUGGGAUCUUUUCUUAACACAUUUUUACGCUGAUUUUACUAUUUUAAUUCUUUGUUUGGAAUGUAUUUUUCUCUCAUUUCUUCUCUGUGUAACAGCAAUUAAAAAUAUUAAUUUACUGUGUAUUUUUACUGUC
Strigops habroptila (Kakapo) is the source of this 1663-nucleotide long non-coding RNA. Lineage: Eukaryota; Metazoa; Chordata; Aves; Psittaciformes; Psittacidae. The record is from Ensembl.